AAAAGCUGCUGCCCGACCUGCGGAGAGAACAAAGCAGCCUAAAGUCAACAGCCAGCCCACAGAGUCCCCAUCCACCUCCAAGGUUAAUCUGAGUGAUUCCCCUGUGGAGCUAGAGGGUUGCGUGAAGAUGAGGGAAGACACCAAUGGAAUCCCAGCAGCUUACAUAUCCCGGCUGAAGGAGGACACUGAGUGAGGGCUGUUCACACUCGUGCAGCUCUACAAGGGUUAGGUUCAGGUCAGGAGGCGAAAGGUGAUGAAAUCUAAUCAUAGGUUAUUUUACCCACCUGAAGGAGUGCUCCUGGCUAUGUCAGUGGGGCUCUGCCAACUCCACAGGCCUUUUUCCGGGUCGUUGUGUGGUACCCUGUCAGAGUGUGGACGAACUCCUUCACUCCUUACAUGCAGUUUUGCUGCCAUACCCGGGUAUAACUUAUUACAAUGUAUGUAGAUGUGAAAGGAAAUAAAGAGCACAGAAAGUCAUAUACUGCUACUGACCUUUGUUUGAUUUGAUUUUUUUCCCCCAUAUUUAAUUUAGGUACAUCACAUCUGUGACAUGUCCAGGUGGUACACAGUCAUAACUGAGGUCCUCAGCUGUGGACCGUGUACCAAUGCAGCCAGGAGCAGAGAAGGUGGCACAGUGGGUCAGCAGCAUGCAGGGGAAGCCACCAUUUUAUCACAAGUUAGCAAGGCUCACCAAGCCGUGUUCCCUGCCACCUUCACCAGCAAGUGUGGAGUGGAAAGGACUGCAUUUGGGCACACAUUCCAGGCCCCAUGCACCUCCUCCAAGGAAUCAAGGUUUUGCCGCUGAAUCUUGGGAAGAUCCAUCCUGAUCUGGACUCCGCUCCACCACCACCAUACAACCCAGCUGCUGCACCACAAGAGCCUUCCCCAGCAUCACAGCAGGAUGGAGCAGGGGCCAGCAGCAGGGGACCAGCAGAUGGCACUAGAAGCAAGACGAGGGUGGUCAAGCAACCGAAAGCAGAAGGGGAAGAAGUAAUACGGCAUGACGCCAGGCCCCCUUUGCCAGAAACCCCCACAGAAACCCCCGCUGAACAGUCAUACCCAAUGAUGAAGGUGGCAGGACCCAGCGGGGUAAUGUUGGUCCACCGCCCAUGGACAGAGGCAGACCUUACUGAUGCCAUUUCUUGCCUGC
Long non-coding RNA from Scatophagus argus, 1150 nucleotides. RefSeq lists it as uncharacterized. The transcript is spliced from 4 exons. The record is from RefSeq and is a predicted model, not a curated record. NCBI's taxonomy places the organism in Eukaryota, Metazoa, Chordata, Actinopteri, Scatophagidae.